Molecule: ribosomal RNA, 497 nt
Filed under: uncultured bacterium
Lineage: Bacteria
Description: partial 16S ribosomal RNA
Rfam family: Bacterial small subunit ribosomal RNA
Source: RNAcentral
GAUGAACGCUGGCGGCGUGCCUAAUACAUGCAAGUCGAGCGAAUAGAUGAGGAGCUUGCUCCUCUGACGUUAGCGGCGGACGGGUGAGUAACACGUGGAUAACCUACCUAUAAGACUGGGAUAACUUCGGGAAACCGGAGCUAAUACCGGAUAAUAUAUUGAACCGCAUGGUUCAAUAGUGAAAGACGGUUUUGCUGACACUUAUAGAUGGAUCCGCGCCGCAUUAGCUAGUUGGUAAGGUAACGGCUUACCAAGGCAACGAUGCGUAGCCGACCUGAGAGGGUGAUCGGCCACACUGGAACUGAGACACGGUCCAGACUCCUACGGGAGGCAGCAGUAGGGAAUCUUCCGCAAUGGGCGAAAGCCUGACGGAGCAACGCCGCGUGAGUGAUGAAGGUCUUCGGAUCGUAAAACUCUGUUAUUAGGGAAGAACAAAUGUGUAAGUAACUAUGCACGUCUUGACGGUACCUAAUCAGAAAGCCACGGCUAACUACGUG